This 1560-nucleotide long non-coding RNA is filed under the name Corvus moneduloides (New Caledonian crow). RNAcentral describes it as "lncRNA (ENSCMUG00000018654.1)". The record is from RNAcentral. Lineage: Eukaryota; Metazoa; Chordata; Aves; Passeriformes; Corvidae.
AUGGCUAAGAGACAAGCGGUGUAUCAAUUGCUCAAAUGCUUUUUAGAAAAGCAGAGCACACCAGGGAUAGAUUGUAAAAAGGAUCUCCCUGGACUUUUAGAUUAUGGGAUUGCUAAGGGUUGUUUUAUUGAUCCGAAUGAAGUUUUUGAGAGGGAGCAGUGGAAAGUGUUUGGGGAUAAGAUAUUUGAUGCAGCUACGCAGGAUGAUAAGGUGGCUAAAAAGAUGAUGAAACCGUGGCGGGCAGUGAGUAAUGCUUUGGCACAGUAUGAGGCAGAGCAGAAGGCUGCAGCAGCCGCUGCGCAGUGCUUAGGAACGCCGCUUACUCGGGAGAAGGACAUGGGUGAUAGCUGCCUGUUACCUCCCACAAUGAAUACUUUUACUAUGCAGACAGGAAAAGUAGUUUCAGAUUCUGUGUUUUCGCCUCCUGCAUCUCCCCAAGCUGUUAGUGCCCCCUCUGCAUCGUUAGAGCAUGAGUUAUUACCUACAGCCCCACCUUUUGAACAAUCCCCCACAGCCUGCCCUCAACCGCCACCGCCUGAGAGCCAGUCGGCAGCACUUUCACUCCCUUCUGAGCAAGCUAAUAGUUCACUUAGUGUAAACACAGACUCAGGAAUUCAAGAGAUAGCUAAGGAACGAGAGGAAUUUUGGAGAGAGGUUGCUAAGAAUAUUGCUGCUGAGGGAGACAUAGAUUCUGCCAGAGAGUUUGUACAGGCUUUUCCAGUUGAAUUUUCACCUCCUAAUGCUCAAGGACAGAUCACUGUUAAUAUCAGACCUUUAGAUUGGAAAGUGCUUACCCAACUGCAAGCCACUGUUAAUGAAUCUGGGUUAAAAGGGGAACCAACUCGUCAAAUGCUUGAUUAUUUAUGGGGCUCUAUGCUCUUGCUACCGAAUGAUAUUAAAAAUAUCACUAAGCUAACACAGCACCAGCGUAUGCUGUUUGGAGCUUACUGGCAGACUUUAUGCCAGCAGUCGGUAGCAACGCAGUGGGGAACAGGAGAUCCUUUACAUGGGGUAACUUUAGAGGAAUUAAUGGGUCUGGGAAAUUACACCCGGACAGAAGCACAGGCUCUCAUAGGUCCUGAUAAGGUUCGGGAAAGCAUGAAUUUAGCACGACGAGCAAUAGAUCAUAUUAAGCAACCAGGGGGGUUACCAUCACAUAUGAGUAUCAAACAGGGAAGAGAUGAGCCAUUUGGUACCUUUAUAGAUCGCGUAGCAAACGCUAUUGUAGCAACUGGGCUUCCAGACUAUAUGCAUGGUAUUUUGCUUAAACAAUGUGCUAUCCAGAAUUGUAAUCCCACUGCACGUAGUGUGUUAGUUACUCUGCCUGCUACUUGGACUAUUGAGGAGGCACUAGAGAGAAUGUCACAGGUCCCUGUAGGUCCCCAAGCUAUGAUUGUUAAUGCAAUAAAGGAACUUGGAAAGGAACUGGGAAUAGGGAUGAAACAGCAGGCUGAGGUAGCUCAGAGGCAGAUUGAGGCAAAUCAGAGUCAGGUUUUAGCUGCCCUUGCACCUUUGCAAAAUCACCGGAGUGGGUCUCGACGACAGACCACCCGACUGUGA